Long non-coding RNA from Carya illinoinensis, 929 nucleotides. RefSeq lists it as uncharacterized. Lineage: Eukaryota; Viridiplantae; Streptophyta; Magnoliopsida; Fagales; Juglandaceae. The record is from RefSeq and is a predicted model, not a curated record. The transcript has 3 exons.
AAAAAAAAAAGGUGAAACGCCAAACAGCGCCAUUUUGACCUGGGAUUAAUAAACCCCCAUUUCUUCUUCUUCCCCACAUCUUCUUCUUCCCUUUGCAGGUCUGCUUCUUCCCACCAAUGGCAUAGCCCGCCGCUCCCCUCCUCCUGCACUACUACAUCGAAGCCAGACAAAUGAACCACAUUGACUUACACCAACACUGAGGCUACCAGUUUUCUCCCCCCCCCCCCCCCCCCCCCCCCCCCCCAAUCAGCUGGCUCGGCUGGUUCUGAACCUCACCAAAAGCCAUCAAUGCGGCGUCAAUUUUGGACAGAAAGCACACCGAAGAAGUCGAUUUUCGGCCUUAUAAAGAGAUACAAGUCUCUCUUGGCACCUUCUCAAACCUAAGCUUUUUCAAGUGACAUAAUCAACUUUGGUUUGUCCUAUAUUUCCAAGGAAAAUGGGGUCUCUUUCUCUGAAUUGAUCACAAGUAUGGCGAGUCUACUACAUGAAGAUGAUUGAGGUUUGAUGCGCAUUUGUGAAAUUAUGCAAAGCUUGGAAUGGCACUCGAGGUUUGGUUCUUUUGUUAAUAGAAAUUUGGAAUGGGAACAUUUAAUUUGGUUGGCACAAGAUGUUUGUUUUGUUGUUGUUUUAAUCGUUGGAGUCUGAACUUGUUCAUUGUAUAAUUUGGGAGGAUAGAUGAUGGAUGGAUGGAUGGAUGGAUGGAUGGUAAUGAUGGAUGUUGUUGGAUUUCUUUAGUUUUAUUUGUUGUUGGAACGAGACAAUAACAUACUUUUAAUUUGUGUUGUUGGUUGUUGUAGUGUGGAACAAGUAACAAUAUUUGAUGCCCUCUAAGUUUUUAGUUUUUUAUUUUUUUUAAAUGUUUUAUUUUGGGCUUGUAAGUUGUAUUAAAUUAGUAGCGAUUAGUGAUUAGUUGUAGAUUUGGUUAUGCU